CAGUCGCCGCGGUAAGACGAACCGUGCGAACGUUAUUCGGAAUUACUGGGCUUAAAGCGCGUGUAGGCGGGUCGGCACGUCGGUCGCUGAAAUCCCCCGGCUCAACCGGGGAAGUGGCGCCGAUACGGCCGGCCUGGAGGGGGGUAGGGGGGUCUGGAACUUCCGGUGGAGCGGUGAAAUGCGUUGAGAUCGGAAGGAACGCCCGUGGCGAAAGCGAGACCCUGGACCCUUACUGACGCUGAGACGCGAAAGCCAGGGGAGCGAACGGGAUUAGAGACCCGUGUAGUCCCUGUCUCUUAUA
RNAcentral lists this ribosomal RNA (301 nucleotides) under uncultured bacterium. RNAcentral's name for it is "partial 16S ribosomal RNA". It matches the Rfam family "Bacterial small subunit ribosomal RNA", at positions 509 to 807 of the family's 1533-position model. The record is from RNAcentral.